AUAAAAACAUGUAAAGGAAAAUUUAAAGCUGGGAGGACUGAAAUACGCCCAAGAGAGAUCCCUGUAUCAGAAUAAUACCUUUUCCACCUUCCUCCUCAGUAGGUUGGGACAACACAGAAAACGAAACGACACCAUGGACAGCAAAUUCAAUUUAAAUUGACAAUAUGAUGCUAUUGUUGAAAAGCCACACCUUUUUCUGUGGUACAUUAAAUAAAUAUCAUA
This 222-nucleotide long non-coding RNA is filed under the name Cyanistes caeruleus (blue tit). Its description in RNAcentral is "lncRNA (ENSCCEG00000020786.1)". Lineage: Eukaryota; Metazoa; Chordata; Aves; Passeriformes; Paridae. The record is from RNAcentral.